This is a long non-coding RNA of Selaginella moellendorffii, 718 nucleotides long. RefSeq lists it as uncharacterized. The record is from RefSeq and is a predicted model, not a curated record. The transcript is spliced from 3 exons. NCBI's taxonomy places the organism in Eukaryota, Viridiplantae, Streptophyta, Lycopodiopsida, Selaginellales, Selaginellaceae.
UCUGCCGAUCCGAGAGGCGAGCUGAAUGUGGGGGAUUCUGAAGCGAGAAGCGGAGCAAGCUGCCCAGAGAUUUUAACGUGUUGAGAGGCACACUUAGUCGAGAGGCGAGGAGCGGCUCUCUCUCUCAACGGCUACAGGGCUUUCGUUUCCCAAGGGUCUUGAGGCUCGUGAGCUGGAUGAAGUGGAGGCUAGGUCUCUCCGACUUGAAGGAAACAGAUUGUUUUAUGAGGGCAGCUACCUUCUGGCAUGCCAGAAAUACAGCCUGUGCAUGCAAGGGCUUUAAUCACGAGUGAAGGAGUUUUCCUGGCUGCAUCUAACAGGGACACCUUUCGUUCAAGAAUGUAGCUCCGAGGCAUUCCUGAGGCUGAGGAAGCACUCGCAGAUUGCAAUAUGGUGCUGGAGGCAAAUCCACUACAUGAAAAGUGUCUCUUCAGAAAAGCGGCCGCUCUCAGUGCAUUUGGCGUACAUCGUGAAGCUCUCCGCUGUCUGGAGCGGGCUCUUCUGCAUGCAAUUGCUUCAUCAAGAAAGGCUGAGUAUAGCGAGAUGUUCGAAGUUCCUAGAGCAGUCAGAGAAGGGUGUUUACGACUUGGAGGACUACAUAUGGAACAACUGCAAGUUCAAAAUGGCUCCAGAGUCUAGCGAUUAUGCUGGACAUGUCGAGAUCAAACUCACACCAAAUGGCUAUGGAUGGAGUUUAUACCUUACUAAAGAUAUUGAA